Molecule: long non-coding RNA, 719 nt
Organism: Cryptomeria japonica (Japanese cedar)
Lineage: Eukaryota; Viridiplantae; Streptophyta; Pinopsida; Cupressales; Cupressaceae
Exons: 3
Source: RefSeq, a predicted model, not a curated record
UCUCCAGUAAUUCCUAUUAUAUGGAGUAUAGUGUCCACCUGUACUCUUUUCUUCGUCAUGGGAAAAGAAAGGAUUAUUUUGCUGGGAGAAAAAGGGGAAGGAGGAAGGCCGAGUGUGAAAGGAAGAGGUAGAUCAAAAGAAUUACUGGUUUUAGGUUUUCCUUAAUGGAGUAGGAAUCAUGACGGGCGUCUCUGGUUUAUGGCUGGAAUGAGGGUACUUCCCCAACACCGUAGCUGAGGAACCCUAAACUGAAAAAGUCUCAAUAUACGGAGGCCAUUGUCUACUGUACAACUAUAGUCUCAGUCUUGUUCAUCCACCAGGCGUCUCUGGAGUCGUGUAGAUUCAUGUUAGACUUAGCAUCCUCCUCUAUCCUCCUGGAGUCUUGUACGAAGGAUAGAGGAGGAUGCUAAGUCCAACAAAUUUGCAUGAAAAACGCAUGGAAGAAGUCCACCAGCAUAAAGAAACAACACUUCAGAUUCAAAAGUAAUAUGCUGCAAAGAGGUGUCAAGCAUGUGAACUAGUUGUGAAAAAGUUACUCAGAAACAGAAGGGCAAUCAAUGUUGGGCAGUGAGGCUAAUUCAUAUGAGAUAUCAUCUUAUGAAGGCUGCGAGGAGGACAACGAUGAUGAUUUUACUCCAGGAAACUCAUACCAUCAUGGACAAGGUGGAUGAGGAUAAACUGCUGUUUAGAUAUUUUUUCUUUUUACAAGGCUAUACAAU